CCCAGACUCCUACGGGAGGCAGCAGUGGGGAAUAUUGCACAAUGGGGGAAACCCUGAUGCAGCGACGCCGCGUGAGUGAAGAAGUAUUUCGGUAUGUAAAGCUCUAUCAGCAGGGAAGAAGAAGGACGGUACCUGAGUAAGAAGCCCCGGCUAACUACGUGCCAGCAGCCGCGGUAAUACGUAGGGGGCAAGCGUUAUCCGGAUUUACUGGGUGUAAAGGGGGCGCAGACGGCGAUGCAAGCCAGGAGUGAAAGCCCGGGGCCCAACCCCGGGACUGCUCUUGGAGCUGCGUGGCUGGAGUGCAGGAGGGGCAGGCGGAAUUCCUGGUGUAGCGGUGAAAUGCGUAGAUAUCAGGAGGAACACCGGUGGCGAAGGCGGCCUGCUGGACUACAACUGACGUUGAGGCCCGAAAGCGUGGGGAGCAAACAGGAUUAGAUACCCGCGUAA
RNAcentral lists this ribosomal RNA (447 nucleotides) under uncultured bacterium. RNAcentral describes it as "bacterial SSU rRNA". It matches the Rfam family "Bacterial small subunit ribosomal RNA", at positions 330 to 793 of the family's 1533-position model. The record is from RNAcentral.